GGGCGCAUAGUGCCUUAGUGGUUUGCAUGUCCGCCUCACACCACCAGGGUUGGGGGUUCGAUUCCCACUGUGGCCC
This is a non-coding RNA of Ameiurus melas (black bullhead), 76 nucleotides long. Lineage: Eukaryota; Metazoa; Chordata; Actinopteri; Siluriformes; Ictaluridae. The record is from the annotation of a GenBank genome assembly.